Small nucleolar RNA from Electrophorus electricus (electric eel), 133 nucleotides. NCBI's taxonomy places the organism in Eukaryota, Metazoa, Chordata, Actinopteri, Gymnotiformes, Gymnotidae. The record is from Ensembl.
AGUGAGACUAGAGUCACAUCUUGACAUUCCUCAUUGUCAUGAUGUGCUAUUGUCCUCGCAGAGUAAACUUUCUCUGCAUAUUCAUUGGCUGUUGCUUUCUAUUGCUUGGCCAAUCACCAGCUCAGAAACAGAC